UCUCUGACUGGCCCAGAUUCUGACAAAUGGCAGGCCAGCUGGUUACUUUGGAUUUUGUUUUUUAUAAGUAAAUCUACAAGGCAAUAGUCCCUUCAAAUCAUGCGUCAGAGUCUGGAGCCAGAGAGGCCAGUCAAGGUACAGGAGUUGGAUCUCCUCCUCGUGCCCACCAGUGAAGUCUGGUGAUGAGGAGGACUGCAGGAGUUUAUUUCCAUUGCCCAAUUCCCAGAAGGUUGGACGUCUACCAGAUGUUUGCUGUCCUCCUCCACACCAAACCCUGACCCAUGAAGAGGUUCCCGUCAGAUCUCCUCCUCCAUCCAUCUCCUUUGCACCGGCAUCUCCUCUGGAUUACAUCCAUUCAACGGCCGGGUGUACACUUGGAUUGCCCUCAGAUACUUGAAGCCGGCCAGUUCCUGUGCAGAGAAUUACUGGGUGGGUUCGGGAGUAACUCAAUGACCCAGUUAUGCAACAGAGGGCUAGUGGAAUUCCUAAUGACUGCUGAGUGCCAACGAAAUUCCUUGGAACAGCCAAUAUGUGCCGAAUGUCAGUUUUCACACACACAGAUACACACACACACACACACACUGAAAAACUACCAAAGUAACCUCUUGUCUGCUUAAUCUAUGAGACCCGUUCUGACCCACAUAAAGAAAAUCCCUCCAAGUCCUUCGACUCCACAGAAGAUUAACCUCUUGCCCAGUUUUUCUCAGGAAAAGAGCGGGACAAUUUGCUCAAAUUGCUUUAGUCGGGGUCAAAUCCAGCGGUGUGCGCCGCCGAUCCAUUGUCUUUAGGGGUGGUUGCAUAAACAGAUUAGGGUAGUUGGUUUUAGGCUUGAGGGUCACUGGGGCCCGAUUGGCCCUUUAGCAUUACAAUCUAAGAUCUAAAUCGCCUGAGGCGGGUUCCCAAACACAGAGAUUCCUGAAUUUUUUGGGGUCAUCUGGGAGCAAGCGAAGUGUAGCAUUUUAAGCCAUUAAUGGUCCUAUGAUUAGAAAGUCAUGGUGGAAUGGCUGAAAACAUGCUAUUCUAUGACACCAUGAAGUUAGAAGCUGAAAUGAAGUCCUUGAACAACAAUGAACCUGUUGCCUUAGGAAUGAGAGAGAUUUGGACACAUCAUACGGUCUGUGGUAACAAGCCAAUAGCUGGGGCAGCUUCUUCCAAGUGACUUGCAACAGUCUUCAUCUGGCCUGUCUUUGAACUGAUUUGCAAAGUGUGCAAUAUGUCAUGAUAAUAACUCAAUGUGCUUUAUACAAUACCUUUUAAUACAUGAGUUCUGAGAUUUUCAAA
This is a long non-coding RNA of Scophthalmus maximus (turbot), 1281 nucleotides long. RefSeq lists it as uncharacterized. The record is from RefSeq and is a predicted model, not a curated record. Lineage: Eukaryota; Metazoa; Chordata; Actinopteri; Pleuronectiformes; Scophthalmidae. The transcript has 3 exons.